Molecule: long non-coding RNA, 303 nt
Organism: Clarias gariepinus (North African catfish)
Lineage: Eukaryota; Metazoa; Chordata; Actinopteri; Siluriformes; Clariidae
Exons: 3
Source: RefSeq, a predicted model, not a curated record
AGAAGCGCCAGACUGUUUGCUCUGCACUGUUCCUGAAGCAACUGGUAUCCUUCAAAAUAGUGGGCUUUGAUGUGGCAGUGCAAAGAAUGUUCUAGAUCAGUAUCCUCAAGCUCCCUCCUGCUCAAACAUUACAGUUGAGUGCUGAAUUCAUCAGGAUUACCACCAUUCCUUUGGUUUCCAGCUUGAUCAGUACUCCACUCAGCUGAUCAGAGUCUUCAAAAGGAAAGGGGGCAUGGCAGCAAAGAAUAUCAGUACCAGACUAUUCAGUAUUUUUAUUGCAAUGAUAUUUAUGCUAUGUUUUCC